ACCCUGCAAAGGAAUUUGAGUAUGAAUUUAACAGAUAUAAAAAGACAGAACAUGUAGCUAAUGAUCAUUUUCCUUCAAUCAGCUAGAAUCAGAACAGAUUUUUUUUUUUCUACCUUUGAGUCCACAAGCCAAAUCUUCUUGCGAGUCUCUUCCACUGGCAUGUUGUUCUGCACUCAAGUAGUGAAAAAAUUAUAGUUGCUUACAUCUGUUUCACAUCAAUUACUCUCAUAAUCAUAUCUGAGUAAAAAAUAAUUAGAAAAAAAAUAAAUAAAAAUGGUGCUGACAGACCUCUUUGGACAUCUCAAGGGCAAUGAGUUCUGCAAUUCCAGUGCCAGCCUGUGAUCGGCAACAAAGUGAGACUCGCAAAAUUAGAAAGAGAUGCUGGGUUGAUAAAUGUAGCCAAGGAUUCUCCCUGCUUACUUAUUACAAGGGUUAUUAACCAAACUAUUAAGAAUUAUCAGCACAAUUAUUAUCUGCUCACCUCUCCAGCACCAAGAAAUAAAAAUUUAUGGUCAGCUAGAGUUCCACCAAGUAAUUUCAGUGCUGCAAUAAGCCCUGCAAGGACCACAGAUGCUGUGCCCUGGAAUGAAACAUUGUAUUUAAGUAUAAGAGCUGUAUCAUUCCUAGGUGCUAAAUAUUGCAAUUGUAUAUGUAAAAAGAAAAAAAAAAAAAUACCUGAAUAUCAUCAUUGAAAACAAGAUGUGUUGUACCAUAUUUAGCGAGCAGAUCAAAAGCAUUGUGAUUUGCAAAGUCUUCAAACU
This is a non-coding RNA of Jatropha curcas, 761 nucleotides long. The record is from RefSeq and is a predicted model, not a curated record. NCBI's taxonomy places the organism in Eukaryota, Viridiplantae, Streptophyta, Magnoliopsida, Malpighiales, Euphorbiaceae.